AGCCUUCGCUUAGUUGGGUGAUUCGUGUCGGAUUUGGAUUCGAGUAGUGUGUACUUGUCGUUGAUCUAUGAUUAGAAGCAUAGUAAUUGAGUUAAUGACCAACCGUUUUCACAUUCCAUUUUUACAUUUCUGUUUACCUUUCUAUUUGCAUCUGUGUUUACGUUUCUGUUUGCAUCCCUGUUUUAAUUUUGUUUAUCCGCAUUCACAAGAACCUUUCAAAACCCC
RNAcentral lists this long non-coding RNA (225 nucleotides) under Vigna radiata. RNAcentral's name for it is "long non-coding RNA (VRAD_LNC002063)". Lineage: Eukaryota; Viridiplantae; Streptophyta; Magnoliopsida; Fabales; Fabaceae. The record is from RNAcentral.